CGUGUAGGCUGCUCGGAAGGUCGGAUGUGAAAGCCCUGGGCUUAACCUAGGAAGUGCAUUCGAAACUUCCGAGCUGGAGUUCUGGAGAGGAAGGCGGAAUUCUCGGUGUAGAGGUGAAAUUCGUAGAUAUCGAGAGGAACACCGGUGGCGAAGGCGGCCUUCUGGACAGUGACUGACGCUGAGACGCGAAAGCGUGGGAGCAAACA
This 206-nucleotide ribosomal RNA is filed under the name uncultured bacterium. Its description in RNAcentral is "partial 16S ribosomal RNA". It matches the Rfam family "Bacterial small subunit ribosomal RNA", at positions 568 to 774 of the family's 1533-position model. The record is from RNAcentral.